AGCUGUAAGGGGAUGAGAAAUAUUCAAUCAAUUAUACAGUUAUCCCUGUCUUAAGAGAUAAUGUCGAGAAUACUUAAUCUGAAACAAGC
Molecule: small nucleolar RNA, 89 nt
Filed under: Millerozyma farinosa CBS 7064
Lineage: Eukaryota; Fungi; Ascomycota; Pichiomycetes; Serinales; Debaryomycetaceae
Description: Piso0_001254
Rfam family: Small nucleolar RNA R38
About the family: snoR38 is a C/D box small nucleolar RNA conserved across yeast, human, Arabidopsis and rice. It is encoded in the intron of elongation factor-1 gamma in both pombe and cerevisiae. snoR38 guides the methylation of 2'-O-ribose sites in 28S rRNA.
Source: RNAcentral